Molecule: long non-coding RNA, 266 nt
Filed under: Hordeum vulgare
Lineage: Eukaryota; Viridiplantae; Streptophyta; Magnoliopsida; Poales; Poaceae
Description: long non-coding RNA (HVUL_LNC009510)
Source: RNAcentral
GUAUAUAUACAUGUACAGGUGUAGGAUAUGCAAAAAAAGCCCUUUAUACAAUGGGGUAAAUAGGCUACAUGGCUAUAUAAGUACUCUAACAACCCCCCCCCCCUCCUUUACGAAUGGGCUAGGAAGAGAGUGGAUGUCUCGUACAGAAGGAAUGAUAAUGAAGCACAUAUUGACAGGAAGAAAGUCCAAUGUGAGAUGGAUGAACUCCUGUUGAAAGAGGAGACGAUGUGGAAGACAAAGAUCCAGAAUUGAGUGACUUAAGUGUG